This 470-nucleotide ribosomal RNA is filed under the name uncultured Syntrophus sp. Its description in RNAcentral is "bacterial SSU rRNA". It matches the Rfam family "Bacterial small subunit ribosomal RNA", at positions 916 to 1381 of the family's 1533-position model. Lineage: Bacteria; Pseudomonadati; Thermodesulfobacteriota; Syntrophia; Syntrophales; Syntrophaceae. The record is from RNAcentral.
GACGGGGCCCGCGCAAGCGGUGGAGUAUGUGGUUUAAUUCGAUGCAACGCGAAGAACCUUACCUGGGCUUGACAUCCCGAGAAUCCCCUGGAAACAGGGGAGUGCCUUUCGGGGAACUCGGAGACAGGUGCUGCAUGGCUGUCGUCAGCUCGUGUCGUGAGAUGUUGGGUUAAGUCCCGCAACGAGCGCAACCCUUGUCUUUAAUUGCCAGCAUUCAGUUGGGCACUUUAAAGAGACUGCCGGUGUUAAGCCGGAGGAAGGUGGGGAUGACGUCAAGUCCUCAUGGCCUUUAUGCCCAGGGCUACACACGUGCUACAAUGGGUGGUACAAAGAGAUGCCAACUCGCGAGAGCGCGCCAAUCUCAGAAAGCCAUCCUCAGUUCGGAUUGGAGUCUGCAACUCGACUCCAUGAAGUUGGAAUCGCUAGUAAUCGCGGAUCAGCACGCCGCGGUGAAUACGUUCCCGGGCCUU